Molecule: ribosomal RNA, 433 nt
Filed under: uncultured bacterium
Lineage: Bacteria
Description: partial 16S ribosomal RNA
Rfam family: Bacterial small subunit ribosomal RNA
Source: RNAcentral
AACGAACGCUGGCGGCAUGCCUAACACAUGCAAGUCGAACGAUGCCUUCGGGCAUAGUGGCGCACGGGUGCGUAACGCGUGGGAAUCUGCCUUUCGGUUCGGAAUAACUCAGGGAAACUUGAGCUAAUACCGGAUAACGUCGCAAGACCAAAGAUUUAUCACCGAAAGAUGAGCCCGCGUAGGAUUAGCUAGUUGGUGAGGUAAAGGCUCACCAAGGCGACGAUCCUUAGCUGGUCUGAGAGGAUGAUCAGCCACACUGGGACUGAGACACGGCCCAGACUCCUACGGGGGGAAGCAGUGGGGAAUAUUGGACAAUGGGCGAAAGCCUGAUCCAGCAAUGCCGCGUGAGUGAUGAAGGUCUUAGGGUUGUAAAGCUCUUUUAAACGGGAAGAUAAUGACGGUACCGGGAGAAUAAGCCCCGGCUAACUCCGUG